GAGUUUGAUCGUGGCUCAGGACGAACGCUGGCGGCGUGCCUAAUACAUGCAAGUCGAGCGAGUCUCUUCGGAGGCUAGCGACGGACGGGUGAGUAACACGUAGGCAACCUGCCUCUCAGACCGGGAUAACAUAGGGGAAACUUAUGCUGAUACCGGAUAGGUUUUUGGAUUGCAUGAUCCGAAAGAAAAGAUGGCUUUUCGUCAUCACUGGGAGAUGGGCCGUGCGGCGCAUUAGCUAGUUGGUGGGUAACGGCCGUACCAAGGCGACGAUGCGUAGCCGACCUGAGAGGGUGACCGGCCACACUGGGACGUGAGACACGGCCCAGACUCCUACGGGAGGCAGCAGUAGGGGAAUUUUCCACAAUGGACGAAAGUCUGAUGGAGCAACGCCGCGUGAACGAUGAAGGUCUUCGA
RNAcentral lists this ribosomal RNA (414 nucleotides) under uncultured microorganism. RNAcentral describes it as "bacterial SSU rRNA". It matches the Rfam family "Bacterial small subunit ribosomal RNA", at positions 9 to 421 of the family's 1533-position model. The record is from RNAcentral.